UACGUAGGGCGCAAGCGUUAUCCGGAAUUAUUGGGCGUAAAGAGCUCGUAGGCGGGUUGUCGCGUCUGCCGUGAAAGUCCGGGGCUCAACUCCGGAUCUGCGGUGGGUACGGGCAGACUAGAGUGAUGUAGGGGAGACUGGAAUUCCUGGUGUAGCGGUGAAAUGCGCAGAUAUCAGGAGGAACACCGAUGGCGAAGGCAGGUCUCUGGGCAUUAACUGACGCUGAGGAGCGAAAGCGUGGGGAGCAAACAGG
RNAcentral lists this ribosomal RNA (253 nucleotides) under uncultured bacterium. RNAcentral's name for it is "partial 16S ribosomal RNA". It matches the Rfam family "Bacterial small subunit ribosomal RNA", at positions 524 to 776 of the family's 1533-position model. The record is from RNAcentral.